This 491-nucleotide ribosomal RNA is filed under the name uncultured bacterium. RNAcentral's name for it is "bacterial SSU rRNA". It matches the Rfam family "Bacterial small subunit ribosomal RNA", at positions 30 to 521 of the family's 1533-position model. The record is from RNAcentral.
AUUGAACGCUGGCGGCAUGCCUUACACAUGCAAGUCGAACGGUAACAGGUUAAGCUGACGAGUGGCGAACGGGUGAGUAAUGUAUCGGAACGUGCCCAGUCGUGGGGGAUAACGUAGCGAAAGCUACGCUAAUACCGCAUACGAUCUAUGGAUGAAAGCGGGGGAUCGCAAGACCUCGCGCGAUUGGAGCGGCCGAUAUCAGAUUAGGUAGUUGGUGGGGUAAAGGCCCACCAAGCCGACGAUCUGUAGCUGGUCUGAGAGGACGACCAGCCACACUGGGACUGAGACACGGCCCAGACUCCUACGGGAGGCAGCAGUGGGGAAUUUUGGACAAUGGGCGCAAGCCUGAUCCAGCAAUGCCGCGUGCAGGAUGAAGGCCUUCGGGUUGUAACUAGCUUUGUACGGUAACGAAACAGCUCUUUCUAAUACAGAGGGCGAAUGACGGUACCGUAAGAAUAAGACACCGGCUAACUACGUGCAGCAGCCGCGGU